AGGCAAUGGAUGCAAUGUCACUCUGGUGAUUAUGUUUCAUUAUAUAAGACUCCAUUUUAGCAGACUGAAGAGAGAAAUAUUAUCCUACUGGCUUUGAAAAUUCAAGCUGCCAUGUGGCAAGGAACUAUGGGCAGCCUUUGGGAACUACAAGCAGUUUCUAGGGCCUGAAGGGCGCCUCUAGCCACCAGUCAGUAGGAAGCCAGGGCCCUCAGUCAUACAGCUACAAAGAAGGGCAUUCUCCUGACAAUCUUGAAUGAGCCUGGAAGCAGAUUUUCUCUAGAUGGACUUCCAGAUGAGAACAUAACCCAGCCAGCACUUGGAUUACAACCUGCUGAGACCCUGAGUAGAGAAUCCAGCUAUGCUGUGCCAGGACUUCAAACCUACAGAAACCGUGAGGCUAUUUUGAUGGUAUUUCAACAAUCUUCACAGUCCCAUCAAGACACAGUAGAAAUCUGUUCACCACAGUGGCUUAACCAUCCUCAAGGAAAGUGUGUUCCUCAAAGGCCCAUCCAUAGAGUCUCUUCUCUUCAAAAGUCUCUAAGAUGAUUGUAUUGAAGGGGAAGAGAAGAAGGAGAGGGAGAGAGAGAAUCCCAAACAGGUUCCAUGCCCAGCACAGAGUCCAAUGCAAGCUUGAUCUGACCACCCUGAGAUCAUGACCCAAAAGGAAACCAACAGUCAGAUGCUUAACUGACUGAGCCACCCAGGCACCCCAAGACAUAAAUGGUUUUAGACCAUAUAUUACUGGACUUUUGUUCAGUCAAGAUGCCAUUUGUACUCCUUCUUAUUGUCACCAGAGUGUUAGUAAAUGAUGUUAGCCCUAUGAUUUAUGUUUCUG
RNAcentral lists this long non-coding RNA (835 nucleotides) under Mustela putorius furo (domestic ferret). RNAcentral's name for it is "lncRNA (ENSMPUG00000029281.1)". Lineage: Eukaryota; Metazoa; Chordata; Mammalia; Carnivora; Mustelidae. The record is from RNAcentral.